Non-coding RNA from Sus scrofa (pig), 4270 nucleotides. The record is from RefSeq and is a predicted model, not a curated record. NCBI's taxonomy places the organism in Eukaryota, Metazoa, Chordata, Mammalia, Artiodactyla, Suidae.
CAUGGAUGCUAGUCAGGUUCAUUAACCACCGAGCCACAAAGAGAACUCCCUUAUAUCUUAUUUUAGAAAACAUAGUAAUUCCCUCAAAUUUGCCUUAGAUAUAGAGGACAAAGAAAUUUUAAUAAAAUUCUAAGACUUUCUGAGGACUGCCUUUUUGUAGACAUCUCAAAGUUCUAGCAGCUGAAGAGAAGACUGAAUGAUGCUGUUCUUCAUGGUACUCUAUCAGAUUUCAUAUCUGAUUUCAUAUCAGAUUUCAUUGGAGUUGUUUAAAAAAGGGGGUGCUAUAAAAGUCCUUAUUACAAUGAUUGCAAUGUAAAUAAUGCUUGGGUGGAGAUUUCUAAACUCUUAAGAUUCAGCUUUCCUAAUACACAAUCCUCACAAAUAUUUGGAAUAAAGAUUUUAGAAUGUUUACUGGCAGAUUUUUUAGGAAGGAUCUCUGAAAGUUUUCUGACUUAUUACUUCUUAAUUUCCCUAUGUAUAAUAAAGUGGUCCAAGUAUAUACAUUUUCUGUCAUUUCAUUAACUUCAAGAUGACCAGAAAAACAUUUAUCCUCAUAUAAAUCAAAUGCUAAAUUAUCAGUGUUUCAAAUUUAUUUAUUGAACGACUGCUAUGUACCAGGUAAUACGCUUGACAGACGGACUAUGAUAAAAGAGGAAAAGCUUACAGUCUGAGAAGGUAAGUAGCUUUAUUGUCUAAUGUAUAGGCUGUUGAAAAAAAUUUCAAUUUUGGUGUUUCUAAAAUUUACAGUAGUCGUUGGUGUUUUAGUUUUCAAAUGUGAUAUUACAAGAGGCUGAUGGUUUAAUCCUUUGAUCAGUAUGAUUUUAGUUUUAUUUUAGGGUGAAUAGAAUGUGGUAUGUGCUUUUACAAUCUUAGUGAAUCCCAGUACUCAUUCGUAGAUAAACACAAAUGCAUUAAUGCUAGGAUACUUUAAACACCAGGAAAUGGUUACCAUUUUUGUUUGUUAUGCUAUAGAAUGUUAAAUUAAUACCUUUACGUGAAAAAAUCAUUGGUGAAAUGUGCAAUCCAUAUGCAUUUACACACCUUUCCAGUUAAGUGAUGAACUUGAUAAGAGCCUGUCAUUGUUGCUCCUUAAUCAGUAGGAAGGGGUCAUCUUUGAGUGACAUGAGGCACUCCUUCCCUCAGGCAUUUAUCACGUAGCUUCCACACCAAUCAUAUCUCUUGCUGACGUGGAACUUGCAAAAUUCAGAAUGAUAAUUGUUUUUAUAACAAAUGUGGAUUGAGUUAGAAAGGUCAGUGAUGGCAUUAUUGGAAUUAUGCUCUCUAUGCCUAGUGAUGUCAAAACUGAAGACAUGGGGUUGUUACUAUCUUGUUAAAAAGUAUGUUAUCAAAAAAUUCACCUUGUAGAUUAAAAUGAAUUGUGGUAGGAUGAUAUACUUUGGUAGUUAUGUGCUCUGAAACAGAAUUAGAGACUAUUGGUCUAUAGAUUAUUUGGAAAAGCUUAUGGUAUGGUUUUAUUAGGUUCUAAGCAAAUGUCUUCUAAGGGACUACAAAUCACACUAAAAGACAUUUUCAGAAGAAACAAGGUAGUUUUAACAUCGACAGACAUUUUUAAAAAAUUAUCUAAAAAAUUUGUUUUCUCUCAAGUAAAUGCUAAUCUUUGAGAUGAUCCAAAAUAUAUUUAAUUCCUGCUUCCUACUUGAUGAAAGUACCAAGCAACAUUGUUUCUUAGACUCAUGAAUUUAUGUGAAUUGCUAGAGGGAGAGAAAACUUUCUAUUAUUUUCAAAGAGGCUAUUAAUAAUAUUUACCAAUCACCAGUCCAAAUGAUUAGCAUUUUAUCAGGAAUUUUCUAAGUAUUACUUUUUCAUUGUAAGCAAAAUUAUAUUUUGUACAUUUCAUAUACAAAAUAUUUUCUAAGCACUAGACACAAGUGACUGGUUCUUUAUAAUACUAUUUUUGUACUGUUGGAUCUUUUUUUUCUUUUUUAAAACAAACACAGUGAACUUUUCUCUGGGUUUUUUAACUACUAGCUGAAUUAAAAUCCAACAGUAUUAAAUCAACAAAGUAAUCAGUGGCCAAUUAUUAUAAAAAAAAUUCCCCUAAUAUAAUAAGCAUAUAUUUUGUAUAUUUAAUUUGUAAUAUGUAAUAUUGCCCUUAAUAUAGACCAAGAAAAGAAAUUUCCUUAAUCAAGCAUCUAAGUAGCUGUCUCCAAAUUUUUGUCUUUCUUUUUAUUGUGGUCCCCAAAUCUUUUCAGACAGUUGAAUUCAGAUUUUGUGAAUCUAAUCCCCUUCCUUUCAAAAGUAUCUAUCUAAACUGGAUCAAAUGAAUAUUAAUGUAAAAUGUGUGUUAAACAUUAAUAGAGAAUGACUACAUUGGAAUGUAUGGCUUAUUUCUACCAAAGAAUGGAAGUUUUUAAAAAUGUGUUUAGCACUUCCAGCAGGUAAGCUGCACUGAACUGAAAGUCGGGAAUCCAACUUUGAAUUUACACCUAUUAUACCAUCAUUUAUCUUAAUAGCCAAUGAACUAAAAUUUCCAAUGAUUUUCCAUUCUUCUGUCUCAAAUAAAAUAGUCAUGUUGAAAAAAUCAUUAAUCUUAAAGUGGUGACAGACAAAAAGAAUUUAGUUUGUUGUCAGUACUUCUCAACUUAAAGGUUAGGUCAGCCAUGGUUUAUGUCAUGACACUGAUAAAUUUUUAUAAUGACCAGAGUGGUUUGAUUUAUAAUAGGCUUUUGUUUUAAGGAAUAUAUAUCAUGGUUAUCUGACUUCAUCCUAAAGAUGCAUUUUUCUACUUUGCAUCAUUUCUCUUUUACAAUAUAGAAACAAAAUUACAGAGCAAUAAGUGAAAUUUAAUAUUAAAAUAGGCAUUUUAAAGAUCUUUCCAUGAAAACUUAAAAGCUGAAUUGGAAAGAUAAAAACUGGGCAAAGGGAUGGGGGGAAAAUCGUUAGGAAUCAGUGAUUUAAAGAGGGUAGGAGUUCCUGCUGUGGGCCAGUGGGUUAAGAAUCUGACUGCAGUGGCUCAGGUCUCUGUGGAGAUGUGGGUUAUAUUCCCAGCCUGGUACAAUCAGCUAAAGGAUCUGGGGUGCUUCAGUUGCAGUGCAGUUUGCAGCUGCAGCUCAGAUUCAGUCUUUGACUCAGAAACUUCCAUAUUCCACAGGUUGAAAGCCAUUUAUAAAAAAGUGGUUGAAUUGGGUCCCUUGAUACCUUUUUUCUUGACUAAUUUUAGUACUUUUUAAAAAAUGGAAACUCUUUAAAUGUCAGAAAUUAUUUUCUCUAAAUGAAAUUACAGAGGGGAAAAGUUUGUAAGCAAAUACAUUGCUAAUGGUGGUUGCAUUUGUGAUAGAAUUUUGAGUAGUUCUUUUUGACUUCAAGUUUUUCUAACUUGAUUUAUAUUUGUUUGUAAUACCAGUAGCCAAUUUAUUUUUUAAAGUAAUGCUCCUAAUAUAAGUACGAAUCAGUCUUGAAAUUUUUCUAAAGUAAACUGGCAUCUGAUGGAUUUUUAAAACAUAAAGUGCAUUUUAAAAAUAAGCCAUUUCCUUCAAGGUGGGAUGUAAUUAAGCCUACUAUCUAGUGCAUAUUUCAAACAAUACAGUUGCACUAUAUGCCCUUCCUUUGAGAGUGAAUCAGUCUUAUUGUUUUACUAAUAUAUUUCUUCUGUUUUCUCUUUAAACCCCUUCAAAUCUGUGCCUUACCCUGUUGGGUGGGGUCAUUACUCCUUAGUAGGAUUCUUAAGUUGCUAAAGAUUAAACCUAAUGCAGAUACUGUGUGGAGUCACAAUAUCUUAUCUUCACUAUCAGCUUUUUCUGAUUUUAGAAGCUUUUAUGGGACCUGAAGAAUUACUUGUUCUGAUUUUUUUUUUUUUUUCAGAUUCAACACCAAAAAGCAGGGAGAAACUGUUAAGAUUAAAUGAUAGCUAUAUUUAUUAAAGGCUAUACCUUAAAAUCCUUUAAAGGGAGUUUACUAACUGUGUGAUUGAGAAGUGUUUUCUUUUAUUAUUACAGACUUGGAAAGAAUUCCCUUCUAAUUUUAUUUUUAACAUUAAUUCAUAUGCAAGCAGUCAGUUUCUAUUGAGAGAACUCUGAGCAAAAAUGUCUUGCCACUGCUGUCCAGAGCAUAUUUUGCACCUCUUCUGUGAAGUGAGUUACACCAGUCAUCCUGGAAGGAGAAUUAUAAUCCAAAGAAAUGACACUACUGUAAGUAUUCAUUACAUUAUUUUUUAUGUGGUUUUAAUUCAUAUUUGACCAACCCAUUAGAAAAGGCUGAUUCUAGAAACUCUAAUCAAACAAAUGACCAGGUAUCUGUACACACACACACU